AGACGUCUACAUUAGACACCCGGGUAGUCCCAGCCGUAAACUAUGCUCGCUAGGUGUCAGGCAUGGCGCGACCGUGUCUGGUGCCGCAGGGAAGCCGUGAAGCGAGCCACCUGGGAAGUACGGCCGCAAGGCUGAAACUUAAAGGAAUUGGCGGGGGAGCACAACAACGGGUGGAGCCUGCGGUUUAAUUGGACUCAACGCCGGACAACUCACCGGGGACGACAGCAAUAUGUAGGCCAGGCUGAAGACCUUGCCUGAAUCGCUG
RNAcentral lists this ribosomal RNA (265 nucleotides) under uncultured archaeon. RNAcentral describes it as "partial 16S ribosomal RNA". It matches the Rfam family "Archaeal small subunit ribosomal RNA", at positions 717 to 982 of the family's 1478-position model. The record is from RNAcentral.